This 462-nucleotide ribosomal RNA is filed under the name Triticum aestivum (bread wheat). Its description in RNAcentral is "partial small subunit ribosomal RNA". Lineage: Eukaryota; Viridiplantae; Streptophyta; Magnoliopsida; Poales; Poaceae. The record is from RNAcentral.
AUGGCCUCCGGUCAGCAAGAGAGGUCGGAGCUGGACCGCAUGGCCCGCGAGGGGGAGACCGUCGUCCCCGGCGGCACCGGUGGGAAGACCCUCGAGGCGCAGGAGCACCUCGCCGACGGGCGCAGCCGCGGUGGGCAGACUCGGAAGGAGCAGCUGGGGGAGGAGGGGUACAGCGAGAUGGGUCACAAGGGCGGGGAGACUCGGAAGGAGCAGCUCGGGGAGGGGGGGUACCGUGAGAUGGGUCGCAAGGGAGGGGAGACUCGCAAGGAGCAGCUGGGGGAGGAGGGGUACCGCGAGAUGGGGCACAAGGGCGGGGAGACUCGCAAGGAGCAGCUCGGGGAGGAGGGGUACCGCGAGAUGGGGCGCAAGGGCGGGCUGAGCACCAUGGAGGAGUCCGGUGGCGAGCGCGCCGCCAGAGAGGGCAUCGAGAUCGAUGAGUCCAAGUUCAAGACCAAGUCCUAA